ACAGUAAAGAAUAUUGUGUAUUUUACUAUUAUUUGCUGAUUAUGGGUGAGACAUCAUUCUUAGCAGCAAAAUUUGUAAUAAAUUUGUGUUCAUACAUGCAUUUUUUCCCCCAGAGAACCAGUUGUGAAAUAUUCGCCAGCACAUGUCUGCUUACAGGAGUGAGAAGCACAGCAGGAAUGCUUUCAUGGAAACAAAACUGAAGGGAGAUGAGACCAUCUGACCCUAGGCUCACUCAGGCUAUUGGCAGAACUUAGUUCCUUAUGGCUGUAUGACGGAGAGCUGUGGCUUUUCAAUGACUCUCCACUGGAAGCUGCUCUUGGAUCCUCAAACCCUCCCAGUUCCAGCAGACCUCUCACACCAUGGAAGCUUGCUCUUCAAGCUGCUCCGCCACCAUGUUCCACGCCAGCUCUCGUGCCCCAUCAGUCCCUGC
Neogale vison (American mink) is the source of this 430-nucleotide long non-coding RNA. RefSeq lists it as uncharacterized. The record is from RefSeq and is a predicted model, not a curated record. The transcript is spliced from 4 exons. Lineage: Eukaryota; Metazoa; Chordata; Mammalia; Carnivora; Mustelidae.